This is a non-coding RNA of Cinara cedri, 341 nucleotides long. The record is from the annotation of a GenBank genome assembly. NCBI's taxonomy places the organism in Eukaryota, Metazoa, Arthropoda, Insecta, Hemiptera, Aphididae.
CACAGUCGUAGCAGCCAGUCGUCUAACGGUGAUCAUUCUCUGACUACAUUUUUACCUAUAGUGUUCAACUAUUUUACAAGUAUGGCUUCUUUAAAUGAAACAAACGUAACUACAAGCAAGAAUCAGUUAUACAAAUACGUUGCACCAGCUCCGCCAGCGGACCUUAUUGACUGCAAUAUCUACACUAUUAAACACAGUUUAUAAAUAUAGGCAUCGAUCAAACAGACUCGUUCGCCGUCAAAGUACAAAUAAUAACUCCGCCGCGAUACGUUAAUAUAACACCGGAUAUUCUAACAAGUAUAUUUUCACUUUUGGAAAAAAUCUUGUCUAUUAUAUUCGAC